UACAGAGGUCUCGAGCGUUAGGCGGAAUCACUGGGCUUAAAGCGUGUGUAGGUGGAUGCCUAAGUACCUUGUGAAAUCCCACAGCUUAACUGUGGAACUGCUUGGUAUACUGGGUGUCUUGAGUCACUCAGGGGCGAAGCGGAACAAAUGGUGGAGCGGUGAAAUGCGAUAGAUAAUUCAUUUGGAACGCCAAUGGUGAAAACAUGCUCGCUGGGGGUGUACUGACACUGGAGAACACGGAAAGCCAGGGGAGCGAAACGG
This 261-nucleotide ribosomal RNA is filed under the name uncultured bacterium. RNAcentral describes it as "partial 16S ribosomal RNA". It matches the Rfam family "Bacterial small subunit ribosomal RNA", at positions 524 to 776 of the family's 1533-position model. The record is from RNAcentral.